This 812-nucleotide ribosomal RNA is filed under the name uncultured Bacteroidota bacterium. RNAcentral describes it as "bacterial SSU rRNA". It matches the Rfam family "Bacterial small subunit ribosomal RNA", at positions 45 to 850 of the family's 1533-position model. The record is from RNAcentral. Lineage: Bacteria; Pseudomonadati; Bacteroidota.
GGCUUAACACAUGCAAGUCGAGGGGCAGCAUGAAGUUUGCUUGCAAACUUUGAUGGCGACCGGCGGAUGGGUGAGUAACGCGUAUCCAACCUGCCCCCUUCCCGGGCACAGCCCUUGGAAACGAGGAUUAACUCCCGAUGGCGUCAGACUAGCGCAUGCUUGUCUGACCAAAUGUUUAAGGAAGGGGAUGGGGAUGCGUCCCAUUAGCUUGUUGGCGGGGUAACGGCCCACCAAGGCUCCGAUGGGUAGGGGUUCUGAGAGGAAGGUCCCCCACACUGGAACUGAGACACGGUCCAGACUCCUACGGGAGGCAGCAGUGAGGAAUAUUGGUCAAUGGAGGCAACUCUGAACCAGCCAAGUAGCGUGAGGGAAGACUGCCCUACGGGUUGUAAACCUCUUUUGUCGGGGAAUAAACUGCGCCACGUGUGGCGCCCUGCAUGUACCCGCAGAAUAAGGACCGGCUAAUUCCGUGCCAGCAGCCGCGGUAAUACGGAAGGUCCGAGCGUUAUCCGGAUUUAUUGGGUUUAAAGGGAGCGUAGGCGGGCUGUUAAGCCAGCCGUCAAAUUGCGGGGCUCAACCCCGUAUCGCGGUUGGAACUGGCGGCCUUGAGUGGGCAAGAGGCGCGUGGAAUUCGUGGUGUAGCGGUGAAAUGCAUAGAUAUCACGAGGAACUCCGAUUGCGAAGGCAGCGCGCUGGGGCCUUACUGACGCUGAUGCUCGAAGGCGCGGGUAUCAAACAGGAUUAGAUACCCUGGUAGUCCGCGCGGUAAACUAUGGACGCUCGCGGUGCGGGUCUUUGACUUACGCCGCCUA